This is a long non-coding RNA of Serinus canaria (Common canary), 409 nucleotides long. RefSeq lists it as uncharacterized. The record is from RefSeq and is a predicted model, not a curated record. The transcript is spliced from 2 exons. NCBI's taxonomy places the organism in Eukaryota, Metazoa, Chordata, Aves, Passeriformes, Fringillidae.
CAACAUUUGGGGUAGAACCCUAAUUUUUCCUGGUUUCAGCUGGCUGAGCAGAGAUGCAAGAGGGCUUCCCUGGAAGCAGGAAAGUGAUGACAUGGCUCCAUUACGAGCCAGGAGCUCACACAGGAGCUCCCAAACCUACACUCUUGGAAUGGCGUUUCAUCUCCUUCCCGAGGGCCUGGGGCUCUCACACAGGCUUUGUGCCCAGCUGGGAUGGCUGGGCACUGACACCAGGGCAGAGACACUGAACAGAGAAAAGAGCAACUCCUCCAGCCAGCCCCAGCUGGGCCUGGGGAACCUCACAGUGCUGCUGCCACACCACCCGUCCUCCUCCCAGCCCCAAGGACACUGCAGAGUUGCUUAUCAGCCUGUAAAUCAGCCCUGGCAAUAAAACCUGGCAUCCAGAGCAAUA